ACCAGACUCCUACGGGAGGCAGCAGUGGAGAAUAUUGCACAAUGGGGGGAACCCUGAUGCAGCGACGCCGCGUGGGUGAAGGAGCACUUCGGUGCGUAAAGCCCUAUCGGCAGGGAAGAAACAGACGGUACCUGACUAAGAAGCCCCGGCUAACUACGUGCCAGCAGCCGCGGUAAUACGUAGGGGGCAAGCGUUAUCCGGAUUCACUGGGUGUAAAGGGAGCGUAGACGGCGACGCAAGUCUGGAGUGAAAGCCCGGGGCCCAACCCCGGGACUGCUCUGGAAACUGCGUCGCUGGAGUACGGGAGGGGCAGGCGGAAUUCCUGGUGUAGCGGUGAAAUGCGUAGAUAUCAGGGGGAACACCGGCGGCGAAGGCGGCCUGCUGGACCGUGACUGACGUUGAGGCUCGAGAGCGUGGGGAGCAAACAGGAUUAGAUACCCCUGUAGU
This 447-nucleotide ribosomal RNA is filed under the name uncultured bacterium. Its description in RNAcentral is "bacterial SSU rRNA". It matches the Rfam family "Bacterial small subunit ribosomal RNA", at positions 330 to 794 of the family's 1533-position model. The record is from RNAcentral.